GCCCGCGUCGUUCAACGGAUAGGAUGCGACGCUACGAACGUCACGAUAGAGGUUCGAUUCCUCUCGCGGGCACCA
This 75-nucleotide transfer RNA is filed under the name Acidobacteriota bacterium. RNAcentral's name for it is "tRNA-Arg". It matches the Rfam family "tRNA". From Rfam's summary of the family: Transfer RNA (tRNA) molecules are approximately 80 nucleotides in length. Their secondary structure includes four short double-helical elements and three loops (D, anti-codon, and T loops). Lineage: Bacteria; Pseudomonadati; Acidobacteriota. The record is from RNAcentral.